Non-coding RNA from Podarcis lilfordi (Lilford's wall lizard), 2758 nucleotides. The record is from the annotation of a GenBank genome assembly. Lineage: Eukaryota; Metazoa; Chordata; Lepidosauria; Squamata; Lacertidae.
CAUUCAUUCAUUCCUCCUCACCACUAUGAGCUGAAUAAAGAGCAUGAAAUCACUUUGCGACUCUGAGUAUAUUUCAAGAAUCCAUUGUGAUCCAGGCGUUGUCACGGUGACACCUCCUCCAACUGCCUCUUGUGUCAGUUGGUCCUUGCCCUAGUGAGAGGCUCUUGUUUCUCUCUGUCUUUCUCUCAAACCAAGUGGAGGAAAAAUGUACCGUAAGUAGGAUCUCUUCACAGCUUCUGCACUCUUGUGCUUAUAAUGAUCCGUUGAAAUCUUAGGCCUUUGCUCCCCAAACAAGGCUGUUAUAUAUAUAUUUAAAAAUCAAGAAUAAGUUACAUGCUUCAGCCAGUCCAUCUGGACAUCUUCAUGACUCCACCCCCUGAUUUAUAAUAGAGAAGCGACUGGAUUCUGCUUAAGCUUUAGGGAAAGGAAAACAGAUAAGAUAGAACAGCUUGCAAAUGGGCUUUUGGGCUAGUGGCAUAAGAGUCACUUGAUAACUCUCCAUAGGCCUCUGGAGAGGAUAAUAUAUCACAUUAUCCUCUUGUCGUGCGACCAUUAUUAUGAAACUGUGAAGAGUGGGCAGUAGCUGAAGAGGUAACCAUGUUGGAAGGGACAGUCUAGUCAUACUCUCUGUUCAUUGCAGGAUCUGUAAUGCAGGAUGCAUCUCUGGGAUCCAUGACAGAGCCACCUACUACCCUCCGAUUAAAUACCUGCUGCAAAGGAGAACUCACCGCCUCCCAAGGGAUGCUCUUCCACUAUGAAACUCUUAGGAGGUUUGGCCAAUAGCCAACCAAGCAACAGUUGGUUUAAGUCCCACCUUCUGGAAUAACAGACCUUCAGGUAUUUGAUUACUCCCCUUAAAACACCCCUUCUCCAAGCAAACUCACAUCUUUCAAUGAGAUGAUGAGAGAUGUCUGUUAAUAUCCAGAGGGUGCCACCCUGGCUGCAAUAUCCAGGCACUCUCUUCACAAGAUACACAUUAUGUUGUACCCAGAAUGGUGAAUUCAUCUUGAGCUUUGAGCAGUGAAUGGCCCCAGACCAAUCUAAGUGAGGUAGAUCAGGAGAGAACUACCUGUGAGCCCCAUUUCUCAUAUUUUUUUCUUUCUUUUCUAGGCUUUUGAGACUUAGGAAGGUUUUGUCCCGCUUAGGGAGAAGGAACAAGUUCUCACCUCUCCCAGAGACCUCCCCCUCUACCUCUGGGGGAUUCAAAAUAUCUUUGCCCACUAAGUACAGAACUCUUAAUCAUGCAUAUUUUUCCCAUUCUUUUCUAGGCUUGCAAGACUUAAGAAGGUUUUGUCCCGCUUAGGGAGAAGGAACAAGUUCUCACCUCUCCCAGAGACCUCCCCCUCCGCCUCUGGGGGAUUCAAAAUAUCUUUGCCCACUAAGUACAGAACUCUUCAGCAUGCAGAUAUUGCUUCCAUAGUCAUACUAGUCCUUAGGGUACUUGGGAAAGGUAUCUCUGCAACUGUCUGAGGCCUAUUUUGAGCUUCAAGCAAUAUAAAUAUAUCUUUGGCAACCAUGGAUGCAUGGGGGACCUUUUCCUUCUGAACCCCCCACUCCAGCCGUAUUUCUACCAGCAGACAGGUUGCUGUCAGUGUCAGUAAAAGAGGGCAAGCCCAGAAACUUCUUGUUGGGCAGAGAAAACAGGAAAAAAAAACAUUUACCACGCUGAGCUCAUUGCAGAAGGGUAGGAUAGAAAGAACAACGAUGCACAUAACAUCUUUCUUCAAACCAUUUCCGAAGUGGUACGAAGCAGUUAGCCUUCUCUUCUCUUCCAUUUAAAUGACAUUGAUUGAAGAUCUUGAGGUCAAGGAGUAACCAUGGAGGUCCUUCCUCAGCAGAUGUCUACUAUCUGCAACAUCUCAGCCUCUUGCUUACCUGCCGCAUGAGGUCUCUUUCCACAUAAUCAGAGGUGCCACUGUUAGCGACUUGCCCUGGUCAGCUGUUAUCCGUUGCCUGUCUAUCAAUGCCGUCUGGUACCGGUGCAGUGACCAGGACAAGGUGCCAAGGUGCCCAGCUGCGAAGAAUGGCAAUCUCUAGAAAUUUCCACACUUCCCGCAGCUCUUUCUGGAAUUUUAAUGUUCAAACUCUUUGCCAAUGGCGAAAAUGCCUAUUUCCAAUCUUCCUUUGAGACACCAAAAAGCCGAAGAAAGAAGGAUCCAUACACCCGGCAUCUCUAGGGAAACAGAUAUACGGGACUACAGGUACAAUUCAAAUGGGACAAAUGUAUGGAUAUUCCGCAAAAGAGGAAGGGUAUCUUUUUAUAUGCGAUGGCGGCAGCAAGAGUUCUGAUGGCAGCAAAAUGGAAGAGUAAUGAAAUCCCCUCUAUACAAGAUUGGAUCCAAAAGCUGACAGAAUAUGCCAAAUUAGAUGGUCUACCAGAAAAAAUAAAGAAUAAAUCAAAACAGGAAUUUGUUUCAAAAUGGGAGGUUUUCAAAAAAAUAUCUGGAAAAUAAAUAUAGUAGUUUAAAUUCUGUUGCAGCAUUCGAGGAACUUCAGUAAUAGCUGCAAGGUAGAUAUAAGAAAUUAUAUUAAGAAAAAGUUUAAUUAUGAUAAAAGUGUGUAUUGGCAAUAAGUAAUAUGAAAUCGAAAUAUGGAAUAGACGGGAGGUUGGGUCUUUAGUGUUAAGACCAAUAUAUGUUUUAUUGUUUGCUAAGAAAAUUAUGUGUCUAUGGUUAUUCCUGUGUGUAAUUUGGUAUUUGUGUUUUUUUCUUUUUUUCUUGCUGUAUCAAUAAAAAUCUUCAAACAAAUAAAAUAAAAU